Molecule: long non-coding RNA, 7997 nt
Organism: Gasterosteus aculeatus aculeatus (three-spined stickleback)
Lineage: Eukaryota; Metazoa; Chordata; Actinopteri; Perciformes; Gasterosteidae
Source: Ensembl
AGCUGCGUGUGGAUACAAAUGUUGGUGUUUCGUUUCCACGGAUCCCGUAAAAAGGAGGGUUUAUUCUGCCGCGUAAAGGGAGAUAAGACGAGUGCAGGGCGGCAGAAACAGGAGGCCGAUGCAGUGAAUGUGGAUCUCAGCAUCCCCCCCCCCUCCGUGCACGCACACCUUUGUGCUGGAGAUUUACCAGGGAGCCCGAUGUGACGUCAAAGCUGCGGGAGAAGGGAAAAGAAGCGCUAUCGCCAUGGAAACCCGUCUCCCUCAGUUUCCCCCGUGAUGUGAGAACACGAACGCGGUGUCAUUGCACAGACCUCGGCCUGUCACGUGAGGGAGGCGUGGUGGAAUGUUUCAGGACAGCAGCUGACUUUGUGUUUACCUCCAGUGACGGACGGCUCCAUGAAUUAGCCUUUUAUUGCCUGUUUAAAGUUGAACUCCGGACCAGUGCCAUUUAUAGACUUGUGAACGACUUCAAGGUAGACUUCUCGUUUAAAGAUCUGCAGACACACGCCCGUAGUUUAGCUGUGACGGUGCUGGAGACCCGGCCGAUGAUCAGUUUGUUUUUGCUUUGCUGCCGCUUGGUGUGUUUCUGUCGUCAGUGACUAACUACGUGAUUGUGUAGAGUUUAAGGUUGCUCAUCCGUCCUCUGGCCCGGCAGGAUGAAUGGACUUAGUCCAUGAAAGCACGUGUUCAUCCACCGUCCACAGACGUGAACAGCAGCACUGACCACCGUACGAAUCCUGGCUGUUGUCCAGAUGGAAGACCCUGGGACGAGGGACAAUCCCCAGGAAAUGAGGUCUGCACCAGGAGACCCUCAGCUGCCCCGAUGUGUGUAUAUUUUUAGAAUUGGCCCUUUUCUUUGAAGGGAAAUCGUCAUGGAGACACAACAUCAUAACAAGACCCAGAAUGGAACCAGAGGUUCCCAAAGCGCGGGCUAUUGAUAGCCCUCGCCGAGCGGGACGUAUCUGGGAUCAACCGCUGUACUUUCCUUCCUUCAACCCUUCACACGGGCCCCUGCAGUUCGCCGCGCGCUUUCGUCCGCAGCUUCAGGCGUCCGAGCUUCGUUCAAAACGUCCACCGGGUUUUUAUUGCACAGCAGCCGCCGCGUCUGUUCUCGGAAAUGUAAACUGCGUAUCGCUCCAACGCGGUGCGGUUUGUUUAGAGAGCGUCAUUAAUUGACAGCCCGGUCAGAGCGCGCUGUGUUUGUGUUUGAGCGGGAGAGGCAGAUAAAUGGCCCGCCGCCGGACCUGGAAACAAGCAGAAUGUCUCCGACACACGCGGGACAUUUUCCAUCUGGGGAGAGCGCGUCAAGGUGUUCGAUGGCGGCAUCGCUCCCGUCUUGUGGUGCAGGAUGACGUCGGCGUUCUUUGCGGUUAGUUUUUGUUUUGGUACAUUCGGCUGAAGGGCUGCAGAUAUCAAGACUGAGCUUCCUGUCCUUUACAGAAACUCCACGAGCAAUGAGCUCACGCUGCCAUACAUCAUAAAUAAGCAUUGAACAAGAGAUAAAACACUGACAGCAACGCUUCCUGAUGUUUGCGUGGUUUUUCUUAAAACAGAAACCAAACCCCGUUAACGCCCUUCACCUUGCUCACCGAUUGUACCCUGAUGGGAUUGUGAACAUUGUGUUGCGUUUGUGCACACAGAUUCCCCAGUAAUCCACACGUUUGCCCGUCAGGUCCUGUUUUGAAUACAGAGCUUCUGCAGGAUUUAGUGGACAUUCUGCUCCCGUCAAUCAGUUCAGCAGUUUGUUGUGUCACUUCAGUUCUGUGUUUAAAUGUCGCCGCUCGGCUCCGAGGCCCUCGAGUAAAUACAACAGUGCUCUUACAGGAGCUCAGGCUGUGCAGCAAUUCGUCUCAGACCCAGAUCGCACAUCUCAGAUCUGUUCACAGACUUUAUUUAAAGAGUUUUAUGAACGUCAUUCAUCACAUCCUCUGUGUAUCCAUUCUACACAUUUAAACAGCGACCAUUACGAUGCCUCUCUCUCUCUCUCUCCCUCAGUAACUUAAUGUCAGGUCUCAGAGGAUGCAAUCACGACUCCCCCACUCAGUAGAUGCAAUCACUCCAACGCGACUGAGAAGGUGUGGAGCUUGAGAAACGAGCGGGAGGAGAAGCGCGUACUUGAGCGGAUGACCGCGCUUCCUGUGAGUCCGCGUGUGAAGCAGCAGCGCUGUUGGUGUCACGACCGGGCGGAAGUUGCCCGUGCGCUGCGAGCGGGGCGCCGUGCACGCGCAACAACCCUGAACGUGUCAUCAGAUUUUCCAGGUGCAUCGCAAAAAAAAAAAAUGUCUGCUAUAUUUACAACGGAUGAAAUCCGUGAGCGUUAAAUCAAGAGGCAGUAAACGGUCCCUCGGAUGUGCUUUUAAAAGUGGCUCAUCAGUCCCCAUGAAGUGCUGUGAGCUGGAUGCAGUAAUUCACAGGGUGCACGAACGGAGCGUUUUAAUUAAAAACUGCUCAGAGGCUGCGACCCCGGGGGACAAAGUCUUCCCGUGUACUCGAUGCGCCAAAGUCAGUGGAAACCCGAAACGCGCAGGAAGCGCAUUUCGACGCCCAUCGUCUUCUGUUGUUGGGAGUCGUUACAGGAAGGAAGUAAAACCAGGAGUCUUUUUUCAUGGACGCGAUGACGUGAUGACGUGAUGUGAGACUUCAAAGAGGUGUCGCCUGGCAUGAUGAGCUGCAUUCUGUCAUUGUUGAAAGCAAUAAUGUCAAAUAGUUUUGACUUGUGUCCCUUUAAAACUAACUACUUAUCUGUCUGUGUGUGUGUGUGUGUGUGUGUGUGUGUAUACAGCCGAGUCUUUAAUGGAUACAUACUAUCACAUUGUUGAUGUGUACUGUUGUGUAUUUCAAUCAGGUAUAGAGCUACACUGAACACAAUGACAGACUCGUCUCCUCUAAAACAGAUCCAUGAUUAACGGGAGCUUUGCUCAAAGGAACGCGAACAUUCACUUUAGCUGAAGUUCCCCAGGAAAUCGUUCCAGCUCCACUCGGCCUUUUCACAGAAGAGCGUCUGCAGUGCUUCCACCUAGGAACCCGUCAGCCGGAAACAAACAUUUAGUUUGUCUUCUUUCACCAAUGCUGCUUAUUUCUUGGGGACGUUGGGGACGUUGGGGACGUUUCCGGUAGGGUUGUCCUGCCUUCUGUAAUUGCUCAUCAAGGGCUUGGACAGUGUGGCUGGUGCACCAAAGCAUGCUAAUCACAUUAGUGGGGAGCAGCACAUCACUGCGUUUACUCCCAGCAGCUGGAAAACCCUGGUGAUCAUCUGCGGAAAUGAAGGAAUAUAAUCCAGGGGCGCGAUCACGUGACCAUUCAGCGGGGGGUUCAGUAAUUGCCCACUCGGCCUUCCUUUCUUCCUCUCGCGACGCGGCUCGCGCUCGUCGGAUACUGCGACGCGCCGGAAAAAGUGAUUUAUCUUGAUGAACUCAAAGGGGACAUCGAAAGGUCAUGCACUUUUAGUGGUUAAGUUAUGUAAAGUGAGAGUAGUUGAUGUGGGAUGUGUGAGCAGACAUGUCGUUUCUUUUAAAACAAUUUGUUAUAGGAAUAUUGUUGUAGCAUUUUGCGAAAGAUGAUAACGUUCAUAUAGGAACGCGUAUUAAAAAACACGCUCCCUUCCCCCAUAAAACCACAAAAUUGCUGCGAGGAAAAAGGUCUUGGUGACAUUUCCGAGCCUGCCCCCCCCGACGUGCGCUCGUGCCACUGAUAAGAACCCACUGGCAUCCUCUUCUCACAUCAUUUUCACAUUUGGGGGAGCAAGCAGCUCCUGUCUUCAUAGCGUCUGGUGGGUGAGGUGAAUACAUGACUGCAGCACCGCUGAUGAGUCCGUCUUCAUCCCGACUAGCUUCUAUUGUUCCUCAUACGCGGAGCUCAAUCGUAUAUAUAUAUACUAUAUUACAUGUUUACAUGUAACGGAGGUUCAAUUGCGUUGUUGCGUUUUUCUGAAAUGGGCUAUGUGUUUAUUAAUCAUCAGAAUAGAAUGCCGCGGAAACAAAAUGGCCUCUAACUGCUGUCCGUCACGUCAAGAUGGAGAAAGCGUUUCGCAUUGGAAGUAAAACAAACACACAGCGGAGAACUGUGAAGAGGAAUCACUCCACGGGUCAAACAGAAGGGGGGUGAGCGGCAAACGGACCACCGAAAGCCCUGCUACGCUAAGCUAGCUGCUAGGCUACUUCUAUCUCAAUAUUUACCGUGAGUUAGUAGUUAGUUAAGUUUUGUGCUUAAAAUAACGUUAACAAUUAAACAACAGUGUCUAAAAUACACGUCUAAUUAUUACUCAACAAACAUUCAUUAUCAUAUUGAAUGUUCAUUAUAUUAAUGAAUUUCAAAAUGUGCGAGUAUGAAUUUGUUAAUUAGCUUUUUUCUAUUAUCUAUUUAUGAUCUAUUAAAAUAAAAAAAUAAAAAUGUUUUUUGAAAAAAAAAAGUCAAACAAUAUUUAGAAAAAAUGUUUUAAAAGAAAGUCUGAAUAUGUCAGCUGAAAAAAAAAACUUUGAUGUACUUGGUAAAAGGUUUUAUAGAAAAAAAGUCUGAAAAUGUUAGGUCAAAAAAUAUAAUAUCGAACAUAAAUGUCAGAACAUAAAUUUAUGUCAAAAAAGUAAAAAAAGACUAGGUUAAUAGAAAAAAAAGUAAAAACUUUCACAGGAAAAUCUUGACACCACAACGCAGUGGAAAAUUCUUCCUGCUCUAUUGAACACCAUUUCUAUCCUUGCUUUUAUACUUUUAAAUAUAUUUCAUGAUCACCUUAGCUUUUGACGUUUUAUUCAUUUUUAAAGGUUUUAUGGUUUCAACAUUAACAUAUGUAAAUUCCGGCAGCUUCAAUUGCGUGUUGAAUCCAUGACGACUGAGCACCACAGCUCGUCUCCGGUGAACAGUGGAGUGGCCCCGGUGACAUCGGAGAGGGAUUUACCAGGUAGGAUCAAAGCCGUCCUUGAUAUUACCGUCCUCUGCAUCGCGGCUCCCACUUCCGCCCACUGGAGUCCACCAUCUGGGAGGAUUUCAAGAGCCGGGGUGCUUGAGGUUAAGACAGAAUGAGCAUGGGAAAUAACUGCGUUGAAAAUAAAGCAUUACCACAUUUUUUUUUUGGCCAUAUUGUUUAUUGUUUAAUAAUAAGAUUGAAUGAUUAAAUGUAAGUAUUUUUUCCAUCGUGGGUCAAAAUGCUCUUAGGAUAUUAUUUGAACUACACGGCACAAAGUAUCAGUUUUACACCGUUUAUAAUUUCAGAAAUGUGAUUAUUAAGCGAAUAUAGCUUCAGAUAAGGUUGUAUUCACCGUCAUGGGUGAGAUCUCAGAACACAACCUCCAUAAAUUUAACUUUACAUCUUGCUGCCAUCACACUCACACCCCCGACGACAGAAUGUAAUACGUCUUGAAAUAAUUGGCCUUUAAAAAAGUCCUACACGAGGUGAAGUCGAUCAAUAAAUUGAUUUCCAGUGACGCGCUUUCUCCCUUUUUUGGCCACAAUUGUCAGGUCUGUUCAUCGCAUUAACAGAAGAGGAAAAUACGUUUGAAAAGGCAGCGGAUCGAACGGACCAUUAAAGCACGGACAAAGCCCCUGAGUGGGGCUCUGCAGGCCAGACCAGGACACCAGUGUUCAUAUCCCAAAACGUUACCCUUCGGUACAUGUUGUGCCACGUAGACCUCCCAGUCGGAAAACGAAACUGUGUUUUUAAAUAAGAAUUUCUGCGUAUUUUACUAGAUAUCCAGACGCUCGAGAGGCUGAGAAAUGAGGGCGACCCUCUUCAGAAUACAGAGCAGCGAUCAUCCAGCCGAUCCCUCCGUGUCGGCGUGGUACAGUGGACGCAGUGGGAGCUCAGACCGAUAGCUCGGCGCUAAUCACCCGUGUGCCUCUUCUCCCCAGAGGAUGUGCAGGCUGCUCAACGCUCAACAUAAAUCCCAUUAUGGGCUCGCUGUGAUGCAUCUGGAUUGGCUGCAUACAUUACAGCAAUGUUGUCCCUGGUUUCCGUUUACUUUAUGAUUGUUAAGACUUUCAUGGCAUCAAAGGCGAUUUAUUUAGGUCAGAAAAAGCCUAAAGGUCCGAAAUCGUUUUGCAGCAAAAUGCAUUUCAAUUCCAUACUUUAUUUACAGGAUUUCCGGGUUCUUUUCCUAAAUCCCACUGACACUUCGAGCACCUCUAAUAACCAAAAUGUCAGCCCAACGGAGCCUUUCCUUUCAGUAUCAAGGGGCUCCUCCGAUGUCUACAGGAUCUUCUUGUGCAGCUACUUAUUGACCAACCUCUUUAUUUAAACAAUGCACGUUGGUUUGGCUGUUUGUUCCGUGUCAGAAUUCUGCCACCGAAAUCUGAAGUUUAACUCGCAGUUCUGUUCGUUGUCCUGCUUUCCCUCCGGCGCUUGACUCUGAACUCGAGGGUCGGCCUCUGUCGAGCUCAACGACGGCUUGAUGGACUCACCUGCGUGGCCGAGCCCCUCUGAGUGCUCCCGCGCGCCUUUUCCCAGCAACGACCGCCGGGCCGACGGAACGAUUGAGCGCCGCGCAAAAGAAACAACCCGCUCUUUUUCGGUGAUUGACAUUGCCGGGCCGCUUAGCACGUUAUGAAUCGGCCAGAGCAGAGCGCCCCCCCCCCCCGUCGGUGAUCUUUUGCGUCAACUCUUCGAUUCAUGCGUUGCGGGAGAGGAAGGGAGCGCCCGACGAGCCGGGCUGGACGGACGGCGAGCUCGAUGACUGCCGCUGCUUUUACUUUCCCGUGUGCCGCUGAGCGUGAAGAGAUCACGUCACGUUAGAGAGAGAAGCAACAGAAUGGAAAAUAAGCGCGGCCUUGUUGUUGUUGUUGUUGUCCAUUUAUUUCUAGCCCCCACUUCCUGUCUGUGUGUGCAUGUGCAGCGUGGGUGGCGAUGUGUGUGUGUGUGUGUGUGUGUCGUUUGUCGUGCACAUGGAAACAAACUGUCACAAAAGAAAGAAAGAUUGUGAAACUUGACGUGACGUAUCGACAAUGCUGAUCCGCGACAACGAGGAGGAAGCGUGAAGUUCACAGGAAGUGAAACCACAGCGGAGCCCCUCGCAACAACCGCCGAGGUCACAGAGGAUCUCCAGCAGAAACGAACAAUAGCUGUCGCUUCUCAUCCUCGCAGCAGGUGUCACAUGGAGCCGACUUGUGACCUUCUGACCUUCAGCCAGAGUUACCCUCCAAACCGCCCCCCCCGAAGUCUCUCUUUCCCCCCCUGAGGGUGAAAGCAGCUCCUCCUCGCGUGGACGGUUAAACGCCAGCUGCGUCCGAGCCCACGCGGCGCGCGCCCACGGCCUUCAAACUGUCACACGGGGGGGACUUUACGUUUCUCGGUGAAAGUAAACGGUUCGCGGUGAAACUUUCCCUCUCGUCCCGCGGUCUCCUCCCUUCGCCGUGUUCUUGUCUCGUUCUCGGGGAACCUUUUAACUUCAAGAUCGACCGAGACCAACUAAUUCUUCUCCUCGUUGAAUUAUUCUGUCGAUCAUAACUUAAGGCAAUAAAGUAAAUGAUGUUUGUUUUUAUGGGACGGGUUGAGGAGUUAUUUUCACUUCCACGUUUAUGUCCUGCGAUAUAAAACACGGCGGUAAAACUUCUUCUUGUCCACCUUUGCAGCGUUGCAGCGUUGUACAGCGGCAUGUAGAUUAUCGACCAACUGUGACAUUCAUGAUAAAAAAAACUAAACCAUCAGAGUGGUGACGAUCGUCUAACUGAACACGUUUUUUCCGCAUUCAUCUAGAAGCUUCUUGUCGAGUGAGUCAAUCAAAUGCGACCUUUCAGUUCCUUUUAGCUGAACAUGUAAGUGGGCCAGAUUUAUAUAAAAUAACAAUACUCUUCCUUUUUUUUUUUUUGUUAAUGACAGUUUUAUGAAUAAAAAAACUGCAUUAAAUCUCGCAGCCGCCACUCUGAGUGACGUCAUCGUCUCUGACAUUCAACAGGAGCACCUCCUCGCCUCCUGUCACACACUGUGGAACAUCAAGGCGUCCGGAAGAUGGAGAUGUGAGAAUGAGGAGAGGGGUGUAGGGUGAUGUGGGGUGUGUGUGGGGGUGAUGUGA